AAAUCGCAGUGAAGAUGCUGUGUACCCGCGGCUAGACGGAAAGACCCCGUGAACCUUUACUACAGCUUGGCACUGAACAUUGACCCUACAUGUGUAGGAUAGGUGGGAGGCUUUGAAGCAGAAACGCUAGUUUUUGUGGAGCCGUCCUUGAAAUACCACCCUUGUAGUGUUGAUGUUCUAACGUUGGUCCCUAAUCGGGAUUACGGACAGUGCCUGGUGGGUAGUUUGACUGGGGCGGUCUCCUCCCAAAGAGUAACGGAGGAGCACGAAGGUUGGCUAAGUACGGUCGGACAUCGUACGGUUAGUGUAAUGGUAGAAGCCAGCUUAACUGCGAGACAGACACGUCGAGCAGGUACGAAAGUAGGUCAUAGUGAUCCGGUGGUUCUGAAUGGAAGGGCCAUCGCUCAACGGAUAAAAGGUACUCCGGGGAUAACAGGCUGAUACCGCCCAAGAGUUCAUAUCGACGGCGGUGUUUGGCACCUCGAUGUCGGCUCAUCACAUCCUGGGGCUGAAGUCGGUCCCAAGGGUAUGGCUGUUCGCCAUU
This 544-nucleotide ribosomal RNA is filed under the name Pseudoalteromonas shioyasakiensis. RNAcentral describes it as "bacterial LSU rRNA". It matches the Rfam family "Bacterial large subunit ribosomal RNA", at positions 2045 to 2588 of the family's 2925-position model. The record is from RNAcentral. Lineage: Bacteria; Pseudomonadati; Pseudomonadota; Gammaproteobacteria; Alteromonadales; Pseudoalteromonadaceae.